CUCUUGCUUAUGUGACCAGAUCUCUGUUUUCUUCCAGGAAAGCUACACUAUGUGGGAGUUCAAGCAAGGAUUUUCAAUGGACUGGAUGUUCAAUAUAAUGUCAGGUUUAAUAAAGUAGCUGAACUUAACCAGGAAGAUUGCUUUAUUGAGAAAUCUCAUCCUAAAGGAAAUUAUUUAACCAAUUACUCAAGGAAUCAUAAAGUGCUGAAUUUAUAGGGACAUAAAGCAUCUGGAUCAGGAGAUUAUGACCUCAGGUCUGUGGAGUCUUCCUAGAGAUUGUAGGUAGACCUCAGUGGUCUCAUUAAUAAUAAAUACACACAGAUUUAUUCAUGUUCAUGUGUAAAUAUUUGUUUCAUUAGUUUUUCUCUAGAGAAGAAAGUAGAAAACAUCUAUCCAUGUUUUAAAGGUUUAGGUGCCACUGAUUUUGAUCAAUGUUUGUUUAUCUGUGAGCAUACUGGUGUCCAGGGAGGUCAGGUGAUGUUACAGAAUCAUAAAGCUGGAGAGAAGCAGAACUGCCAGUCAUCGUCUCUUCUGAUUCCCAGACCAAGGCUCACACACUUCUUCUAAGUGACCUACAAUGGUAGGAUUUCUUCUGUGGCUGCAUCUGAGCUGCAGCCUAUAACUAGGAUUGUCAGAAAACAGAAACUUAAAAUAUUUUGCUCAAGAAUAGGAGGUUGAUAUAUUGAGUGCAUUUAUAUCUAAGAUUUGGAAUAGUGGAGUUUCUUAGUUUGAAUUUCCCCAGAAAAGAACCUGAGAUAGGCACUUGGACUUAAAUAAUUUAAUUUGUUGGUGAUGCCAGGAAUCUAUGAGGGAGUAAGGGAAUAAGACAGAGAAGGGAUAAAAGUCAGUGACUGGUAUAGGAAUUACAAGGGUAACACUAUGGAAAUAGGGCACCAUCUUGGGACCUCAUGGCUCAUAGAUACGCCUCCAUAAGGGCAAGAAAGAAGUGCCACUUAUCUUUUACCUGCCAUCUGUCACUAACUGAGGAAUUUUCUUGGCCAUAAAGAAAUGAUAUGGGAAUCAUAUAUGGGCACUGUCUCCCAGAAACACCCAGGGACAGGAAGGUUUUCACAACACCUGUUAAGAGAUGUUUUAAGAGGUAAAGGAAGGAAGACAUAUCUGUGGAUUUGAGUACCAGUAGAUCAUAACAUGUGGGGGAAAGGGGAAUUUUAUAAGUCAUCUAUUACUACAACCUCUUAUAUAACGGAUGUAAAUGACGUAAAAUUAAGAUUCUCUAUUUAAUACAAGUUAAAAUAACAAUCUAUUCUAUUAUCUUCAAUAUUAAAACAUAGUUUUUUUGUUUGUUUGCUUGUUUGUGGUGUUGCUUUUUUUUUUUCAAGGUCAUCUCCAUCCUUUGUUGCUUUAAUUUAUGUGGAGAAAAAAUUUACAGGGGUCUUCCACUGGUGGCCAACUUCUAUUUUGAAGCUACACAAAAUACAAUCAAAAUAUCUUCUCAAUGACUCCCUAUAAGAGCCAGAUUACAAUGUAGUCCGCCAUGAUUCCCACCUUCUAGAAUCUAAGAUGUUGUAUAAACUCCUCCCACACUGAAUAAAGCUUAUUCAUGUACCCAACAGAACACUAUAGAAAUGACAGAAUGCAACUUCAAAUACUAAGUCACAGAAGUUACUAUAGUUUCAGAUUAUUCACAGAGGAAAGCCACAGCCAUGUCGUGAGGAUAACCAAGAAGUCCUGUAGAGAGGUCUACAUAGGGAAGAACUGAAAUCUGCCAAGAGUCAUCCAAGUCAGCUGUUUUGGAAAUGGAUCCUCAUUGUUCGCCAAGCUUUCAGAUGACUACAAGUGCAGCCAACAUUUUGACUGCAAGUUCGUGAGAGACCCCGAGCCAGAAACCCCCAGCUAUGCUGCUCCUAGAUUCCUGACAAAGAAAAUGUGUCAGAUCCUGAUCAUCAAGUUUGUAUAUUCUUAAGACAGAAGCCAGGUUUUCAUUUCUUCGCCAGAAACAUGAGAAGACUCAGUAAAAUUACCUACGUGGGGCUAUACGGUGACAGCAAACCAGGUGGUUUUCUACUAGCAAACCAGGUGGUAGGACCUAAAGCUGCAUUGGGAGUUUUAAUUUUCCCCACCAAAGCUCCAGCCACAUGAAUGAAAUUAUCUUGGAGCCUCCAGAAUAGACCAGCUGCCAACUAAAUACCAGAAGAAUCACCCAGCAAAGCCCUAUUCAAAUUCUCAGCCCACAAAGUCAUCAAUUCUAAUAAAAUGUUAAGUUUUCAAGUUGUUAACCUUAGGGUUAGUUUGUUUCAUUUUAACAGAAUAAUUAGUACACCAUUUUAUUUAAAAUAACCAGUACAAUGUUUGACAUACAGCAGACACUCAAUAGUUUUCUGUUGACAACUGGAUAAUGACUACUGGACAACCUGGAGAAAUUUAAAGGCAACUAACACGGACUAAAUUCCUAUCUGUGCCAGUCACUCAACUCUUCACAAUGACUCUAUGAAGGAUGUUAUACUAUAAUCUCAAUUUUCAAUGGUUGAAACUUAAGCACAAAACAUUAAAUAACUUCUCAGAGGAGGUCACAGAUCUAAGAAUUGGGAAACUAGGAUUAGAUCCCAGUGGAUUUCCAUGCCAUGCUGUCUUUAGAUAGUAAAUUUUCACACAGAUGGAAACAGAGUGAAAUUCCAACAAGGAGCCCUUGGAGUUGGAUUGGGAAUGUGUACAGGUAUAUGAUACCAUGGUCAUACAAGUGUGUCAAACACAUCAUAGGUACACACAUAUUGAGUCCAGUUUCAGACAAUAUUGUACUUUUUUAUUUUCAAGAAUCGUUUGACCUUGGUCCUUAAGUCAGACCAGGUAGUCAUUUGAGGUGAGGACUUUGAGUUAGAUCUAUAUUCAGACAAUUCAGAUAAAUGUUCCAUCACAUAUCUUGUUUAAUUUUGAAUGUCAUUUAACCAGAUUCUCAGUUUGAACAACCAAAAAGAGUGAAUAAUGGUAAUGAUAGUAUCUACCCAACUAAGUCAUAGUUCAAUGACAUAUAGGUAAAGUAAGUGUUAUGACUGACAUGCAGGAACUGCUUAAUAAAUGGUCACUGAAACCUGAAAACCACGGAGUCUGCACUUCUCUCUCAAGAGCUUUUUCUCCCUCCAGAGAUAUGUUUGAUUAUUUCUAUAACCUGGUCCAAAAGGCUUCUGUCAUCGGUCCUUAAGUCCCUUCAAACCUUAAUUCACAUGACUCUUGUUGGCUCACACCCUUGCCAUACUUCUGUUCCUUCUAUGUUCCACAUUCUACACCCUGUGGGGCUGCUCUACAAAGAAUAAUAUUUUACUCCAUGAAAGCCCAUUGAGACUAACUUGAUGAUUCUGCUAAAGGCUGAUUCUUGGAGCACAUUGGUGUUCAUUCCAUGAGUGUUUUCAGAGCUUCAAAAUUUGAGAGAAAAAUAGGAGAUACAUCACCUUUCCUGGGCUUUUCAUUGUAUAAAGGAGGAAACUGAAAAUGAGAAAUGAGAGGAUUUGUACCAAUGGUUACAAAGUGAUAGAGCAGUAGAAGAAGAAUGGUAAUGCAAUUGACACUUCUCUCCUUGGAGGAUUUAAAAGAGACCCAGCACUUCCCCAGGCAUGCACACUACUCCUCACUGUGAUAUAAACAUCACAGGAAAGUGCUGGAGUCUAAGAUUUAGGCUGCCACUGCUCAGACACUGCCUGGAGAUUCCUUGAAAUAACCUUUUCAUUGUUGGAUCCAUUGAAAAGGGGUCCCAUUUACACAGGGAGAAAAAUAAAUGGUCCAUGUAUUCAUAGGCAGACAGAUGUUCAAGCUCACUACUAAACAAGGAAAUGCAACUAAAUGCUACAGAGUGUGUUUUUCACAUAUAAAAUUAGCAAAUAUUAAAAAGAUAGAUCAUAACCAGGUUAUAAUUUUUAGGCUAGAGAAAUUAUGCUCUCAUAUACUAUCCAAAGAAUGUCAACUAGGAAAACCUUUGACAAACUUGUCAUCUAAAAUGUAUAAUCCUUUGGCCUAGCAAUCCCACUUAGAGAGCUCUGUUCUACUAAAAUACUCUUAUAGGAUUCUGAUAUGUUUAUAAGGCUAUUUCUUUCAUAUUUCUAUACUCAAGAAAAAAUCAAAAGCAAUUUCCAAGUCCAUCAAUAGGGAACUACUUAAAUUAGGGUACAUUUACUUCAGGAAUUGUAUGCAACUAGCUUUAACAAGAAGAUUUCUAUGUAUCAAGGUGUGAAGAAUCACAUACAUGAAAGAUGAAAUAGUUGAGAGAGGACCAAAGUAGGUGUUUCAUGUUUUAUUGUAUGUAUUGGUAUCAUUUUAAACUCUUGCAAAAAUAGAAACAUCUUCUGUAAAUAAAGGCAUAAAAUGAAGAGAAUUGAAGCUGAUCCCAAUACUCUUUCCAAAUUUAAUUUAGUCAGAUAUUUUGCCUAUGCAGAAAGUUGCAACUUCUGGAAGCCCAAGGAAAAGUCUUGAUGAGAAAUCUAGUGCUUGUAAAAUACUGCCAUUUAUAGGGGGGAAACCUGCUCAUUUCAGCAGUAAGGGCAACAGGAGAAUGGCUGAUUGGCAAAUCAGAGCUAGCUUAUGGUGUGCUAGUUGGCAGAAAUGCAGGCCACACGAGGCAAACAUCAUCUUGUUGGAUCUUUCGUACAUAGAAAUGGCUGCAUCGCCUGUAAAUACUGCUUAAAUGCAGCCAGAUUUUUCAACAUCUCUGAAUAAUGGCUUUGCCUCCCAUACAGUCACUUGCCUGGUUCUCUCAGAGUCAGACUGGGACUGCAGGCCACUUGCAGGCAAUUGCUAUGGCUGCUAUAACAAACUAUCACAAACUUAGUGGCUUGAAAAACAAUAGAGAUUUCUGAUGUCUGGUUUGGGAGGUCAGAAGUCUGAAAUGAAGUCUUUAAGGGCUCAAAUCAAGAUGUUGGAAAAGCUGAAUUCCUUUUACAAACUCUAGGGGAGAAUUCAUUCUUUGGCUUUUCAAGCCUGUGGAGGCCACCCAGACUUUGCACUCUGUUGGCGCUGUCACAUCGCCUUCUCUCACUCUGACCCUUUGCCUUUUCACAAAUCCAGAAUAAUCUCUCCAUCGCAAGACCCUUAAUUUAAUGACACUUGCAAUCUCUUCUGCCAUCGAAAGUUACAUAUCUUUAGCUUCCAGCUAUCAGGAUGUUGACAUGAUUCUGCCCUUCCCCUUAUCUUUGAAAAUUCCUCAGUGGUUAGCGGUAUGGCCCAGAGAAGAGCACCUCAGUUUGCUCUCUUAGCAAAUCUGAACUAAUACUACAUACCCUACACCACCCCAUGAGGGAAGGCUGUGAUGAUCUGUGGAAGUCAGACCUGGCGAUUUUCACAUCACAUCAGCAGAAGGAUAUCUGACAAAUCUCUGUUGAUGGCAUAAACUAUGUUACCAAUGAUGACAGCAAUUUUAGUAUCUCCCACACAAUCAUCAUGGUAGGUACUCAUUACCUUGAUUUUGUCCUAUUACAAUAUAUGGGGCAUAGUUACAUAUGGGCAUAUUUCAAAAGAAGCAGAAUCAUAAGAUAUACAGUAAUAUGAAAUACCUCCCCAUAAAGUCACCUCCACACACACAUUCAAUGAUGGUAAGUCCUGGUAUUAAAACGUGUACCUAUAUAUGUCCUUCCUAAUGCUGAUUUUAUUAUUCAAGAAACUUCCAAUUACUAGAUGAUGUAUGGAAAACAGCUCUAAUUUUACAUUGAGCAUUAUGUGUUGAGAAGUAUUCUAAAUACCUUGUAAGUAUUCAGUUAUCAACAGUUAGAAACAUAGUUUCAAAUUUCCCAGAAGAGUGUGAAUGGGAUCCAGGAAUAUCAAGGCAGAAAUACAUAGUAGCAGGGGAAAAAAAUAACUGGUAAGUUAUAAGGUAUGAGCAAAAUAUACUGUUGAAAAUAUUAAUGGAGCGGUGCUCAUGUCCUGUAUUUUGCUGCAUUCAACAUAAGCUCAUGAUUCUAUGCACUGGGCACUGUAAAUAAUAUCCCCUUAUAUGCAUAGGGGAGUUUUCAAUCUUUCAAUAUACAGAAGCACCUUUUUUAUCCCGUGUGAUAUUUGUGCCAACUCUGUGAGGCCAGCUGGGACUCUAUCUCACAGAAAGGAGAAAUGAGACUGAGUCAUUCUCAAGAUUCCGUUUCUAAGAGAUGAACUGUGACUUAAAAUUGCGUCUCCUACAACUCUAUUUCCAUACCUGUGAAAUAGAGAUUUAAAAGGCAGAUCUUUUAAAAGUAAAUAUUAAUACUUGAAAAAUAUUUAGAAUGCUUCUUAACAUAUAAUACUCAAUGAAAAAGUAGAACUGUUUUCCAUGUAUAAUUUUGGAAAUUUUAACUGGAAAUUUCUUUUUUUUUUUUUUUUUUUUUGACAGGCGGAGUUGAACAGUGAGAGAGAGACAGAGACAAAGAGAAAGGUCUUCCUUCUGUUGGUUCACCCCCCAAAUCGCCGCUACGGCUGGCACUGUGCCGACUCAAAGCCAGGAGCCAGGAGCCUCCUCCUGGUCUCCCAUGCGGGUGCAGGGCUCAAGCACUUGGGCCAUCCUCCACUGCUUCCUGGGCCACAGCAGAGAGCUGGACUGGAAGAGGAGCAACUGGGACAGAAUCAGCGCCCCAACAGGGACUAGAACCUGGAGUGCCGGUGCCACAGGUGGAGGAUUAGCCUAGUAAGCAGCGGCGCCGGCCAAACUUCUUGAUAAUAAAAUAACAUUAGGAAGGACAUAGUGGUUGUAUGAGGAAUGGGUUAGCAACCACAUACAGGCAAUAUAUACAUAUUUCAACACCACCAACCUACAUGCACCUGGAACUCUCCAUCAUAAUCAGUUCUCUCUUACGUUCCUUUUGUGGCAUAGUACUUAUUUCAGCUCCUGUUAUUGUGUGAUAAUUUAAUCAGUAUAUGUGUCCUACAUUCAACUCUGAGCUCCACAAAAACAUGCAGCUUAGUAGCUAAUGCUCAUUAUUACAUUCCUUAGCACUGCACUGCUGCCUGGGAGAUGCUCAAAUAUUUGCAUGAAUGGAUCAGAAACUGAAGCUAAUUAAUUUUGUCAUGUUCUCUAUUCCUACCGACUCCAUUUUCAUUCCCUGAUAAAACUGCAGAAUAACAUAAACAUCCAACACUGGGAAAAUAUUUCAUAACUUUUUUUUUUUUUUGACAGGCAGAGUGGACAGUGAGAGAGACAGAGAGAAAGGUCUUCCUUUGCCGUUGGUUCACCCUCCAAUGGCCGCUGUGGCCGGUGCGCUGUGGCUGGCGCUCCGCACUGAUCCAAAGGCAGGAGCCAGGUACUUAUCCUGGUCUCCCAUGGGGUGCAGGGCCCAAGCACUUGGGCCAUCCUCCACUGCACUCCCUGGCCACAGCAGAGAGCUGGCCUGGAAGAGGGGCAACCGGGACAGAAUCCGGUGCCCCGACUGGGACUAGAACCUGGUGUCCCGGCGCCGCAAGGCAGAGGAUUAGCCUACUGAGCUGCGGCGCCGGCCCAUAACUUUCUUUAACAUGUAACAUUAGUUUAGAUUAAUUACCAACCCAUAGUUGAGGCUCUAAAAUGCUUUCAGACUCAUUUGUCCCUUUUCUUGAGUGUUACUGUAGUUCUCAGAGGUGGCCAUCAUAGGUUUUUGUCCUCCUUUUUAGAAAUCAUUAAACAGAAAUUCCAAGAAAGAUGGCUUUCCCAAGGUAAUAAAGCUAGUGCAUGUUUGAAAUUAAACUGGACAAUAGAUCAUUUGCAUCCUCUGUAAUAACAAUAAAAAUGCUGAUAAUUAUCUAGUAGGCAGAAUUAGGCUGACAUAUAUGUAUAUAUAUACACACAUGCAUAAUUAAUUAAACUACCAGGAACAUUAACAUGCCUAUUAUAUAUAUAUAUAUAUAUAUAUGCGUGUGUUAGCAUAUACUCAUAUAUAUGGUCAUUUAAUGCACCUAAUAGUUCAACUCAUAAGGUGAAAUAUAGAUCAAGAAAAUGAGGCAACUGACUGGCUAAAAUUUGUACAACUAGUAACCGUUCAUUGCUGGAACAGAAAUUAAAUCUAUCUCCACAUGGAUCCAGAGCCAGAUAUUUAAACCGCCAUGCCAUACUGCCUCCCUUUUCAGCGAGAUUCUAUUCCUACUACAAGAUGUUGACUCCCCUGUGCCCUUUCUUGAUGAUUAAAAUAUUUAUUGCCUCAUUCCCUACCGUAUGAAGUCCAACUUGUUUUCACUUUUUCCUAUUUUUACUGUUUUCUGACCACAGGCAAUAAAGUUUAGCAAAGCUAGAACACCUUACGUUCCCCAGCUGACAUAAAAAAGAGAAGAUGCCUUCCAGUUACGUCAUCUUAACUACUGGAAGAUAUGUUCUUUGAAAAGGUCCAUAAUGAGUUUUCACAGGACAGAGAGAAUUAUCUAAAAUAUAACAUGCUUCGACAGUGAAACCUCCUUAUGGAUAUUUUGCCCUGAGCAGUUGUCAGUACAUAGCACUUAAUAAUCCCCACGGUAUACAUGUUCAGCGCAAGGCUCUUAGCACUUGCUUCUGGGAGUGUGUGACAUGGUUUCCAUUUUAAAAGCUUCUUCUGGCUUGAGGUUGAAAGACACGGUGGGUUAUCAUAGCAUCAAGGAAGGUUAGAGCUGCGUAAGAACUUAGAGCAGAUCCAGAAGAGGAUAAUUUCCAUGUCAGUGUUGUGUCCCUCACACUUAACACAGUGUCCAACACAUGGAAGAUAAAAGUUGUGCAAAUAGAUGAGAGCUAUUUACAGAUAAAGAAAUAAAGGUUCAGACAAGUAACUAAUUUACCUAAAAUCACCUAAAAUUCAGAUUUAAAAGUCUUAUGAGUUUAAAAAUGUUUUCUAAUUUAUUUUUUAGCCCAUUAAUUAAGUCAUUCAUUCAGGGCAUAGAUACUUGAUUAAAUAUUGAGAAAAGUACACAAAGGAUUAAGAUAUGGUUAUACUCAUUGGCUAUACUCAUUGACAGAAAUGAGAUGGAAUGGCAAGUGUCAGGGUGGAAAGUAAUCAACGAUCCAUUCUGAAGAGUCCUCACUCACACACACUUCAGGAUGCAUGUGUACGUAGGAGGAAAUUUACAAUACUUAAGAAGUGGUUACACGUAUAUUCCUAUCAAUAGGACAAUAUAGUGAAUAGCCUUUAAAAUUUAUCACAUGGUCAGUAUUAGCUGACAGAAAGAUCACUACCAACAGUUUGGAGUUGGAGAAAAUAAACCAGUCUCAGAACAUGCAUAAAUGUAUUCAUGUAUUCACAUUCAGGAAUCAGAAGUUGUAAACCUGUGGGUUAGAGCUGGCUUACAAGUAUCUCAUUUGGCCUGUGUGUCAUUUCUUAAGAAAAUUAAAAUUCACUGCCAACAUUUUAAAGUCAGAAGCUUUCCCUGCAAUGGUCUGGAUUUGAGGCCAGACUUAAGAAAGUUAAGUAUCUGACAACGCUGGGGGUUAGAAACAGUUGAAGCUUCCAUCUACAUAUAGGGAAUGUACCCUUGACCCUCACCUACUGACAGAUGCCUGGUGCUCCUAGACAUUCUGGUGAUGGACCGCCUUCCCUGGCUAAUGAAGAACCUGACAGUAUGCACAGAACUGCUUCACCUGAUGGAAACCUGAGUUGGCAAGGUGAUAAGGGGUUAGGACGCUAGAGAGCAGUUUUCACGGUUCCUUUUAUGCAUUUAGAGUUUGCUUAUCUCUCGUGGAGGACAAUGGUGCUUGUAGAAGGCAGUGAAAGGGAUGGCUGUGGCUUGAGCACUUGAGGGUGAGGCAUGUGAAGUGCAAGAGACGCCCUUAGAAAAGGUUCUGACCCGGGCUAUUCCGUAUCAUUCUGAGGCGUCACUUCACAACCUACCCACCAAGUUCACAGGCAACUGGGAGCAAACAUGAAGUGCCUAGCCAGGACCCUACAUGGUCUAUGGCUUUGUCUAACAACCCCUUGGUGACUUUGCUUCUUCCCAAAGCAAAUGCCCACAAGUCCCACUUUUUCUAGGCUACCAGAACCUCUUAAUGGCCAGAGGAGAAAUUUAGCUCAAAAUUUUAAGGAUUUAGAGAUUGUAGAGGUAGAAAAAAAAACCUGAAAAGUACCCUGCAUUAGGAGUUGAGGGGAAGGAAGAAGGGAAGGGGGAAAGGGAAGGCCAGGGGGAAGCAGGAAGAAAAUUGUGACUAUAGGCCCCAGGUUCCACAUGUGUCAAACGAGAGACGGACUGGAUGUUUCAGCAACAUUAAAACUCUGAAUUUGGGUUUUGGUUUCUGGAUUGACCCAUCUGGGAAAUUAGAUAUGCAGUUCAAAUGACUUAAUGUUGCCUGCUUUUCAUGAAGUUUUUAAGAGUUCUUCUCAUCCGAAGAAAUGGACAGAGCACUGAGGCAGUACCUUUUUUCCCAAAGAUUGUCCAGGGCUGUUAUCACAGAGAUUAUUCCAAUUGAGAUGCAUUCUCUAGGGCUGGUUGAAUUCUGCAGCCUAGCACAGUAAUAAGACCUUGCAUUUGUACAGCAAUUUUUACAUUUCUGAAGUGCUUUCCAUCUCUGUCCUGAAUUUUAUACUUCUAUCAAUACUAUAAUGUAGGCAAGACAGGAGUUUUUAAAAUGGCAUUUGAACAAUUGGGAAACUUGGACUUGAGCUGCUCUCAGGGAGGCAGCAAUGAUAUACUCAAAAAUGUGCUUCAGAGCUGGGACUGACUUUUCUUUUUAAAGAAUUUUUUUUUUUAUUUAUUUGAAAGAGUUACACCAAGAGGUAGAGCCAGAGAGAGGUGUUCCAUUCCACUGGUUCACUCCUCAAGUGACUGCAAAGGCCAGAGCUGAGCUGAUCCAAAGCCAGGAGCCAGGAGCUUCCUCCAGGUCUCCCACGCAGGUGCAGGGGCCCAAGGACUUGGGCCAUCUUCCACUGCUUUCCCAGGCCAUAGCAGAGAGCUGGAUCAGAAGAGGAGCAGCUGGGUCUCAAACCAGCAUCCAUAUGGGAUGCUGGAGCUGCAGGCUGGGGCUUUAACCCACGGCACCACAGCGCCAGCACUGGCCAAGGGACUGAUUCUUGUCUUAACUGUUAGUAGAUUGGCUGAGUAAAUUCCUUAAGUUCCUCAGCCUCAAUUUGCUUAUAUAUAAUAUUGCAUUAUAUAUAUUAAAUUAUAAUAAAUAAUACAUUUAUUAACAAUAUUAACAAUUUAUAUAACA
This is a non-coding RNA of Oryctolagus cuniculus (rabbit), 11041 nucleotides long. The record is from RefSeq and is a predicted model, not a curated record. NCBI's taxonomy places the organism in Eukaryota, Metazoa, Chordata, Mammalia, Lagomorpha, Leporidae.